CGUUACUUCAUCUAAACCAGUUGCCUAACAACGAGAGGAGGGGAGAAGGUUGGAAAAAACUGGAAGAAAUAAGUUGCAGGUUUUUUACAGAGGUGCGUUUGAUUGAUGCUUCUUAUAUUACCAUCAUUUAAUUAUAAUUAUUACAUAUUAUCAAUGGCAGAUCAAAAACGGAGGAUAUGAAAAGAUCGCCGUCGCCAAACCCGAGCUCUUUUACAUCCAAUCUUCUUGGAGGGAGGUUUUGUCUUUGUUCUCCGACGACGCAUCCCGGCUCUUUCCGACGACGCUUGCAACCACCGUAACGAAAACAAACAAUCAAAUCAUCGGGGUGCCAACACCAUCAAGAACUUUGUUCCCUCCUCCAAGACCGAAGAAAAUAUCUAUUACCUCAACUACUGCAACUAAAGUUUUUGAUUCCACCGGGGUGUCAUAAUCAAGAACUUUGUUCCCUCCUCCUCGACCAAGGAAUUUAUCUUCCGAAACUGAAUUUCUUGAUUCUACAGAGAAUAAAGAAACAACAUCACACUCCUGGCAAGAAUAAAUAAGAUGAAUUCAAAUUCAAAUUUUAUUUGAUUUUAUUUUUUUAAAUAAUUUCAAGCAUUUUUCUUCUUUAUUAAAUUCCAAUAUCGGCAUUAUAAUGUAAUCUGAAACACAGUAAAACAGUUGUUUGCUUAUGAAAUACUAUAAAUAUUGAUGAUCCUAUGAUAAUUAUUAGAAAGGUUUAAAAAACAACAUUUUCAGGAUAAACAGAGCUGUUGAUUCAUUAUUGGCAUCAAAGAUUUGCAACCAUUGCCAGUUUCUGAAGAAAGGAAAUAAAAAAAAAGAUAAGAAAACAAGAUUGAACUAACUUUCAACUUAUUUGCAAUCUGACCCAACAACCGCAUCCACCAAUUGAUCGAUCUUCUUGUCGGAAUUCUUGACGUCCACCACCUCCCCAUCUCCAGAUCGAUUAUCUCCGCCUUCGUCGCCGGAAUCGGAAAGGUCAAGGGACCGUGACCGACUGACGUAGAGGGGAACCGAAGUACUAAUGUGAGAUGCAGAUAUUAUGGACAUUGAUAGCGGUUAUCUGUGGUAUGAAUCGAGGGUGGUGCACGACUAGAUCCCGUGCGGGUUGAUUUUAUAUCCAAGGAAAUGUCCUUAUGUCACCUUGAACGUGCAUUUCUUGGCCUUCAAACGUAGGUCUGCCUUUCGGAUGUUGGCUAAAUUUAAUUUCUUAAUUUCAGGUUGGACAGGUGGUCUUGUUAUACAUUGGACUGGACUAAGAUAUCAUUUACGUAUACCUCGACAUUUCUUCCGAUCUGGUUCGCGAAGAUUCGGUCAAUUAACCUUUGGAAUGUUGUUCCCACAUUCCGGAGCCCGAACGGCAUUACCCGUAAAAAGAACGUGUCAUGCUCGGUUACGAAAGACGUUUUUUUCGGUCCUAAUUCGCCCAGUAUGCUGCCUCGGUUCGUGUCACCCCGGAGGGUCUCAUUAUCAUCCUAUGAGAAACCCAAGAGGGUUGUUAAUCUCUUCUUCGUU
Molecule: long non-coding RNA, 1515 nt
Filed under: Zostera marina
Lineage: Eukaryota; Viridiplantae; Streptophyta; Magnoliopsida; Alismatales; Zosteraceae
Description: long non-coding RNA (ZMAR_LNC004163)
Source: RNAcentral